GGUUGGGCGGGCUAAGCCUCGCCCUCCGGCGAAAUGGAAAAACCCUUGUGUGAAGAGUGCUGGGGACUGAUUUUUAUAAAGCCCUCUCCUGACCCGGACCAGUUCCAUUCCUCCUACUGGAGCUUCGCAGAGCCCUGAUGGGGUACAGUUCCUGGCGUUGUGCAGCGGCGAAACUGACUCUUAGAAAGGUUGAGGAACUUGCCCCGGGUCACACAGCUGGGGAGUGGUCGAGCUAGGAUUUUAACCCAAGUCGUCCGGCCUCCAAAAGCCAGAUUCUCUCCGACGUUAGCGCCGCGCCCCCAGGGCGGAGGACUGCGUUCCCUAACACCGCAGACACAACUAAGGUGCCUUGGGUGUGAUUGAAAGACGCGAACGCGGGCCACCCAUCUCUGGCUGAUGGGUGGCUGCGCCUGCAGCCCCCGCAGGGGCUGAGCGUCGGCGGGAGCCGCUCGGGCUGUUACCGUAAGUCUCAGAGGAGCGGGGCACAACGGGAAAGGUAACGAAGAGCAGGACGGGCCGGAGGGCGCCGCGACGUGGAGAGACUGCGUUCCCGGCUCAGAAGCCUGACCUUGAAGGAGUGAGGGUGCGCACGCGCCCGAGGCAAGUCAGCCUUACUGUUCUUGGAAAGAAUUAGAAGAGGAAAGAAAGGUCACUGCUUUAAAAAUAGGCAUGGAAAGAGCCAAAGGAACCCAGAUCCAGGAUGUAACUGUGCCCUGGUCUUCGGCCCUGAGGAAGGGGUCUGUACUUUCACAAGCGGCAACAGCCAGGCGACGAUUUUCAUCUUAAAUACAGCCCAUCAGCAACUGAAGAACCACAUGACCUCCAAAAAUUGACCAGUCUUCUUUGGAUUCCUUCCUUCCGUCACAGCCCUCAGGCCCCCCCCCCCCCCCCCGCAUAGGCAGCGGGAAAAAAGGAAAAGCUCAUGUGCUCAGGCUCUAAGGUAAGAGCGUGACAGGCACACGUUCAUUCAUGUCUCACAGCAAUCCCUGGAGGGGAGCAUGGGUCUCCCCACUUUACGCGUGAGGAAACUGAGGCAGAGAGAGGUUAAGCAACUGGCCUGCAGUCCCACAGGCCUGAGGCAAACAAGAGCCAAAGGAAAACCCAGGCUUGUAAAUAUGCAGUUUAACUUCCAAUAGCUAUAAAUCUACUUUCCCUAGGGAUGUAAAUUCUGAGAUCUUAUGAUCCAGCAGGAAAGGAGCAGCAAGGAGCUGGUCUACAGUGCAGUGAGGCCUGGAUUUUGAGUCCAGGAGGGAGAGAGACAGACCCCAGGGACCUUUGGGAAGGUAGAGGAUAAUCUAUAGCUGCGAUAAGAACAGAAUCCAUGGUGGAGGACUGCUCUCAAAUUUUCCCAGCCAAGAUUUCUGAUACUUCAAAGACAGUUGGUGGCAAGUAGGAUGAUGUGCUUGGAAGCCAGACAGGCCUGAGCUUCAACCUCAACUCUGGCACUUACUGGCCGGUGACCUUGAGCGGACCAAAGCUGCAGGAUGUCAGAUCUAAGAAACAAGCCACCUGCCUCUCAGAGCAGAUUUAAGGAGAUACAGAAUGGAAGAGGUCCUAGCACAGUGCCUGGCCUCCAGGGGGUCCUCGAUGAGAGUAAAUUCCCUGUUGUCCCCCCCUUGGCAAUGCCCCUACUUCACCUCCUGUGUCUGUGAUUCUCCUUUCUCAAUAUUGUACCCUUGGUGAGUGAGAACCAGCGGAGAAUGUCAAGUGAAAGGGCAUGGCCCAGGGAACCAAUAAUAUGCUUGUGCCCCUCUCCCUGCAUGGUGACUGACAUUUCCCAGAAAUAAAUAACUGCAUAGCA
Molecule: long non-coding RNA, 1801 nt
Organism: Herpailurus yagouaroundi (jaguarundi)
Lineage: Eukaryota; Metazoa; Chordata; Mammalia; Carnivora; Felidae
Exons: 2
Source: RefSeq, a predicted model, not a curated record